ACGGGAGGCAGCAGUGGGGGAUAUUGCACAAUGGAGGAAACUCUGAUGCAGCAACGCCGCGUGAGGGAUGAAGGUUUUCGGAUUGUAAACCUCUGUCCUUAGUGAAGAAUAAAUGACGGUAACUAAGGAGGAAGCUCCGGCUAACUACGUGCCAGCAGCCGCGGUAAUACGUAGGGAGCGAGCGUUGUCCGGAUUUAUUGGGUGUAAAGGGUGCGUAGGCGGCCAUGUAAGUCAGGCGUGUAAUUUAGAGGCUUAACCUCUGACUGCGCUUGAAACUGUGUGGCUUGAGUGGAGUAGAGGCAGAUGGAAUUUCCAGUGUAGCGGUGAAAUGCGUAGAUAUUGGAAGGAACACCGGUGGCGAAGGCGAUCUGCUGGGCUCUAACUGACGCUGAGGCACGAAAGCAUGGGGAGCAAACAGGAUUAGAUACCCUGGUA
This 435-nucleotide ribosomal RNA is filed under the name uncultured Ruminococcus sp. Its description in RNAcentral is "partial 16S ribosomal RNA". It matches the Rfam family "Bacterial small subunit ribosomal RNA", at positions 341 to 792 of the family's 1533-position model. The record is from RNAcentral. Lineage: Bacteria; Bacillati; Bacillota; Clostridia; Eubacteriales; Oscillospiraceae.